GUGAAAGCUAUAAGAAAUUAUAGCCCAUCCACAAGAACACUACCCAGGUGCUGCAUGGUUGUCGUCAGCAGGUGGCUUGAGUUGCUCCCUUAAAUGGGGUAACCCUGCGCAACCCUUGUCCUAUGUUUCAUGUGUCAUAGGAGACUGCCCGGGACAACCGGGAGGAAGGUGAGGAUGACGCCAAAUCAGCAUGGCCUUUUGAUGCCCUGGGCUGCACACGUGGUACAAUGGGGCCGACAAUGGGAAGCUAAAGAGUAAUCUGGAGCAAAUCCUAUCAAACGGUCUCUCAAUUCGGAUUGAGGUCUGAAACCCGACCUCAUGAAGCCGGAAUCGCUAGUAACCGCAGAUCAGCAUGCUGCGGUGAAUACGUUCCCGGGUCUU
RNAcentral lists this ribosomal RNA (381 nucleotides) under uncultured Nordella sp. RNAcentral's name for it is "bacterial SSU rRNA". It matches the Rfam family "Bacterial small subunit ribosomal RNA", at positions 990 to 1382 of the family's 1533-position model. Lineage: Bacteria; Pseudomonadati; Pseudomonadota; Alphaproteobacteria; Hyphomicrobiales. The record is from RNAcentral.